Molecule: long non-coding RNA, 472 nt
Organism: Gorilla gorilla gorilla (western lowland gorilla)
Lineage: Eukaryota; Metazoa; Chordata; Mammalia; Primates; Hominidae
Exons: 4
Source: RefSeq, a predicted model, not a curated record
GGGACAGCAGGGCAGCCAGGGCUAGAGGAGCCUGAGGGGCCAGGUCAGGGUGGCCCUGGGGACACUGCCUCUACCUGUGACCAGCGCUGCUGCGGGGAUCUGGGCAUGAGACCCCUUCUCCCAGGAGGGGAGGCGCGAGACACACGGACAUCGGGAACGGACAGAGCAAGGACAUGCAGUUGCAGCCUUUUCAGCAGAUGCCCUAAGAAUGGAAGGUCAAGAGUUGGAGCAAACGGUCAGUUCUGACAGGGCCUCAGACCUAAGGCAGGAGCACCCCCUAUGCCAGACCUCCUGGGUCACAGGAUAUGCACAGACAUCGGGAAGGGAUGGAGGAUGGAUGAAGGACGUGCAGUUGCAGCUCUUUCUGCAGAUGCCCUGAGAGAGGAGCAAGAAGGUCCUCGCCAGAUGCUCCUGGACUUGUUUUGGACUUUCCCUUGCUCUUGGACUUGCUCUGGCACCUGUGCUCUUGGAC